This 449-nucleotide ribosomal RNA is filed under the name Pupilla muscorum. RNAcentral's name for it is "partial 16S ribosomal RNA". It matches the Rfam family "Archaeal large subunit ribosomal RNA", at positions 1920 to 2666 of the family's 2987-position model. The record is from RNAcentral. Lineage: Eukaryota; Metazoa; Mollusca; Gastropoda; Stylommatophora; Pupillidae.
AGCUUAAAGUUUAUAUUUUAGGUGAGACCUGCUCAAUGAAGAUGUAGAUUAUUUAAAUAGCCGCAGUACUUUGACUGUGCUAAGGUAGCAUAAUAAAUUGGCUUUUAAUUGAAGUCUGGAAUGAAAGGUAAAUUUGAAAAAGAUUGUCUCUAAUUAGAUUUAUUGAACUUACUUAAUAGGUGAAAAUUCCUAUGUUUUUCAUAAUAGACGAGAAGACCCUAAGAAUUAUUAAAAAUAAGUUUAUUUUACUUUAAUUUUUUGUUGGGGCAACAACUUUGAACAUAAAACCAAAGGGUUAAAGAUUCUAAGACAAAUUUUAUUUUGAAAAAAAUUAAUUACCUUAGGGAUAACAGCAUAAUUUUCUUUUUAGAUUGUGACCUCGAUGUUGGAUUAAGGACCCCUUAGGUAAGCCACUUAAGAGAAUAGUUCUGUUCGAACUUUAUAUCCUU